RNAcentral lists this ribosomal RNA (297 nucleotides) under uncultured Pseudomonadota bacterium. Its description in RNAcentral is "uncultured proteobacterium partial 16S ribosomal RNA". It matches the Rfam family "Bacterial small subunit ribosomal RNA", at positions 29 to 351 of the family's 1533-position model. The record is from RNAcentral. Lineage: Bacteria; Pseudomonadati; Pseudomonadota.
AGCGAACGCUGGCGGCAGGCUUAACACAUGCAAGUCGAGCGGGCGUAGCAAUACGUCAGCGGCAGACGGGUGAGUAACGCGUGGGAACGUGCCCUUUGGUUCGGAACAACACAGGGAAACUUGUGCUAAUACCGGAUAAGCCCUUACGGGGAAAGAUUUAUCGCCAAAGGAUCGGCCCGCGUCUGAUUAGCUUGUUGGUGAGGUAACGGCUCACCAAGGCUACGAUCAGUAGCUGGUCUGAGAGGAUGAUCAGCCACACUGGGACUGAGACACGGCCCAGACUCCUACGGGAGGCAG